CCCCAAUCCGACAUUUUCCUCCAACUGGGUGUUUGUCUUUUCUUUGUUUUUUAUUUAAAGAAGCGAGAAGAUGAUAGGGAACAAGAGGAGUGGAGAUGGGUUUUUAUAGAGAGGGGGGGAAAAGGAGAUGAUUAGAGAGUGGUAGUGGUGGCGUGGGGCGGAGGUUGGAAGAUGAAGUCACUGGGGAUUCUGUCCCCGCCGUCCUGCCCAUUUGUGAUUCUCAUUUCU
This 228-nucleotide unclassified non-coding RNA is filed under the name Hevea brasiliensis (rubber tree). Lineage: Eukaryota; Viridiplantae; Streptophyta; Magnoliopsida; Malpighiales; Euphorbiaceae. The record is from RNAcentral.